Molecule: ribosomal RNA, 253 nt
Filed under: uncultured bacterium
Lineage: Bacteria
Description: partial 16S ribosomal RNA
Rfam family: Bacterial small subunit ribosomal RNA
Source: RNAcentral
UACGGAGGGUGCAAGCGUUAUCCGGAUUCACUGGGUUUAAAGGGUGCGUAGGUGGGUUGGUAAGUCAGUGGUGAAAUCCCCGAGCUUAACUUGGGAACUGCCAUUGAUACUAUCAGUCUUGAAUAUUGUGGAGGUCAGCGGAAUAUGUCAUGUAGCGGUGAAAUGCUUAGAUAUGACAUAGAACACCAAUUGCGAAGGCAGCUGGCUACGCAUAUAUUGACACUGAGGCACGAAAGCGUGGGGAUCAAACAGG